GACGAACGCUGGUGGCGUGCUUAACACAUGCAAGUCGAACGGGAUUUAGUAAACAGAAGCCUCGGUGGAAGAUUACUAAUGAGAGUGGCGAACGGGUGAGUAACGCGUGAGCAACCUGCCUAUGACAGUGGGAUAGCCUCGGGAAACCGGGAUUAAUACCGCAUAAAAUCGUAGAAACACAUGUUUUAACGGUCAAAGAUUUAUCGGUCAUAGAUGGGCUCGCGUCUGAUUAGCUAGUUGGUGAGAUAACAGCCCACCAAGGCGACGAUCAGUAGCCGGUCUGAGAGGAUGAACGGCCACAUUGGAACUGAGACACGGUCCAAACUCCUACGGGAGGUAGCAGUGGGGAAUAUUGCACAAUGGGGGAAACCCUGAUGCAGCGACGCCGCGUGAACGAAGAAGGUAUUCGUAUCGUAAAGUUCUGUCCUAUGGGAAGAUAAUGACAGUACCAUAGAAGAAAGCUCCGGCUAAAUACGUG
RNAcentral lists this ribosomal RNA (478 nucleotides) under uncultured bacterium. RNAcentral describes it as "partial 16S ribosomal RNA". It matches the Rfam family "Bacterial small subunit ribosomal RNA", at positions 28 to 507 of the family's 1533-position model. The record is from RNAcentral.